RNAcentral lists this transfer RNA (43 nucleotides) under Festuca pseudovina. Its description in RNAcentral is "partial tRNA-Leu". The record is from RNAcentral. RNAcentral also lists the same sequence under 9 other names. Lineage: Eukaryota; Viridiplantae; Streptophyta; Magnoliopsida; Poales; Poaceae.
UACGGACUUAAAAUCCGUCGACUUUAUAAGUCGUGAGGGUUCA